GAUGAACGCUGGCGGCGUGCCUAAUACAUGCAAGUCGAGCGAACAGACGAGGAGCUUGCUCCUCUGACGUUAGCGGCGGACGGGUGAGUAACACGUGGAUAACCUACCUAUAAGACUGGGAUAACUUCGGGAAACCGGAGCUAAUACCGGAUAAUAUAUGGAACCGCAUGGUUCAAUAGUGAAAGACGGUUUUGCUGUCACUUAUAGAUGGAUCCGCGCCGCAUUAGCUAGUUGGUAAGGUAACGGCUUACCAAGGCAACGAUGCGUAGCCGACCUGAGAGGGUGAUCGGCCACACUGGAAUUGAGACACGGUCCAGACUCCUACGGGAGGCAGCAGUAGGGAAUCUUCCGCAAAGGGCGAAAGCCUGACGGAGCAACGCCGCGUGAGUGAUGAAGGUCUUCGGAUCGUAAAACUCUGUUAUUAGGGAAGAACAAAUGUGUAAGUAACUAUGCACGUCUUGACGGUACCUAAUCAGAAAGCCACGGCUAACUACGUG
Molecule: ribosomal RNA, 497 nt
Filed under: uncultured bacterium
Lineage: Bacteria
Description: partial 16S ribosomal RNA
Rfam family: Bacterial small subunit ribosomal RNA
Source: RNAcentral